Molecule: ribosomal RNA, 253 nt
Filed under: uncultured bacterium
Lineage: Bacteria
Description: partial 16S ribosomal RNA
Rfam family: Bacterial small subunit ribosomal RNA
Source: RNAcentral
UACGUAGGGUGCAAGCGUUAAUCGGAAUUACUGGGCGUAAAGCGUGCGCAGGCGGCUGUGCAAGACAGGUGUGAAAUCCCCGGGCUUAACCUGGGAACUGCACUUGUGACUGCACAGCUGGAGUACGGCAGAGGGGGAUGGAAUUCCGCGUGUAGCAGUGAAAUGCGUAGAGAUGUGGAGGAACACCGAUGGCGAAGGCAGCCCCCUGGGCCGACACUGACGCUCAUGCACGAAAGCGUGGGGAGCAAACAGG